CUACGGGAGGCUCCAGUGAGGAAUUUUGCGCAAUGGGGGCAACCCUGACGCAGCAACGCCGCGUGAGUGAAGAAGGCCUUUGGGUCGUAAAGCUCUGUCGACAGGGAAGAAGUUAUUGUUGUUUAACAGAUGACAGUAUUGACGGUACCUGUAGAGGAAGCACCGGCUAACUCCGUGCCAGCAGCCGCGGUAAUACGGGGGGUGCAAGCGUUAUUCGGAAUUAUUGGGCGUAAAGGGCGCGUAGGCGGUCUUGUCAGUCAGAUGUGAAAGCCCAGGGCUCAACCCUGGACGUGCAUUUGAAACAGCAAGACUUGAGUACGGGAGAGGAAAGCGGAAUUCCUGGUGUAGGGGUGACAUUCGUAGAUAUCAGGAGGAACACCGAUGGCGAAGGCAGCUUUCUGGACCGAUACUGACGCUGAGGCGCGAAGGUGUGGGUAGCGAACGGGAUUAGAUACCCUAGUAGUC
This 465-nucleotide ribosomal RNA is filed under the name uncultured bacterium. RNAcentral's name for it is "partial 16S ribosomal RNA". It matches the Rfam family "Bacterial small subunit ribosomal RNA", at positions 339 to 795 of the family's 1533-position model. The record is from RNAcentral.